GUUCCUGCUCUCCUUCUGAAUGCUCUAAAUUUCAUGAGUAGAUUUCUUUCAGUGUUUUUGAAUAAACUGAACAAAAAAAAAAGCAAAAUGAAAGCACCUGUCCGAGCAACACACAGGAUUCCUUUACAGACAAAGAAGAGGACUAGAGCUCACUCCAAUCUCAUCUACAGAGCUCAUAAAGAGGUCAGUCCAACUGGAAUGAGGAGUCCAGACUUCCUGGCCAGUCGGCUCAGUUGUCCCAAACCAGUCGUGCUCAGACUGGUGAGCUCAGAGGCUUCCAGGCUGUCAAAAACCAACAGACUGAAAGUCAUCACUCUGCAGGAGAUCAAUGCUGCCGUCACACAUGUGCAACAGAGGAUUUGUACGAGAGCUGCCGCAUAAAAGAGCUGGACUUGAGGAAGACAAGAAUUUUAUAAAUGUUAUCAUUAAAGAGAUUUUAAUUUUUAA
Molecule: long non-coding RNA, 447 nt
Organism: Dicentrarchus labrax (European seabass)
Lineage: Eukaryota; Metazoa; Chordata; Actinopteri; Moronidae
Exons: 2
Source: RefSeq, a predicted model, not a curated record